RNAcentral lists this ribosomal RNA (152 nucleotides) under Sarcopilea domingensis. RNAcentral describes it as "5.8S ribosomal RNA". The stretch from base 21 to 152 matches the Rfam family "5.8S ribosomal RNA", at positions 1 to 132 of the family's 154-position model. Rfam says of the family: 5.8S ribosomal RNA (5.8S rRNA) is a component of the large subunit of the eukaryotic ribosome. It is transcribed by RNA polymerase I as part of the 45S precursor that also contains 18S and 28S rRNA. Functionally, it is thought that 5.8S rRNA may be involved in ribosome translocation. Lineage: Eukaryota; Viridiplantae; Streptophyta; Magnoliopsida; Rosales; Urticaceae. The record is from RNAcentral.
UUUGUUCUAUAAAUCAAAACGACUCUCGGCAACGGAUAUCUCGGCUCUCGCAUCGAUGAAGAACGUAGCGAAAUGCGAUACGUGGUGUGAAUUGCAGAAUUCCGUGAAUCAUCGAGUUUUUGAACGCAAGUUGCGCCCGAAGCCUAGGCCGA